Molecule: ribosomal RNA, 497 nt
Filed under: uncultured Glomeromycotina
Lineage: Eukaryota; Fungi; Glomeromycota
Description: partial small subunit ribosomal RNA
Rfam family: Eukaryotic small subunit ribosomal RNA
Source: RNAcentral
CCAAUAGCGUAUAUUAAAGUUGUUGCAGUUAAAAAGCUCGUAGUUGAAUUUCGGGAUCAGUACGCUGGUCGUGCCUCGGUAUGUACUGGUGUUACUGGUUCCUACCUUCUGACGAACCGUCAUGUCAUUAAUUUGGUGUGGCGGGAAAUCAGGACUGUUACUUUGAAACAAUUAGAGUGUUUAAAGCAGGCUCGCGCUUGAAUACAUUAGCAUGGAAUAAUGAAAUAGGACGUUCGAUCCUAUUUUGUUGGUUUCUAGGAUUGACGUAAUGAUUAAUAGGGAUAGUUGGGGGCAUUAGUAUUCAAUUGUCAGAGGUGAAAUUCUUGGAUUUAUUGAAGACUAACUACUGCGAAAGCAUUUGCCAAGGAUGUUUUCAUUAAUCAAGAACGAAAGUUAGGGGAUCGAAGACGAUCAGAUACCGUCGUAGUCUUAACCAUAAACUAUGCCAACUAGGGAUCGGAUGAUGUUAUUUUUAAUGACUCAUUCGGCGCCUUACG